GUAGGGAAUAUUGGGCAAUGGAGGCAGCUCUGACCCAGCCAUGCCGCGUGCAGGAUGACGGCCCUCUGGGUUGUAAACUGCUUUUAUACGGGAAGAAAAAAUACUACGUGUAGUAUACUGACGGUACCGUAAGAAUAAGGAUCGGCUAACUCCGUGCCAGCAGCCGCGGUAAUACGGAGGAUCCAAGCGUUGUCCGGAUUUAUUGGGUUUAAAGGGUGCGUAGGCGGAUUUUUAAGUCAGUGGUGAAAGCCUGCAGCUUAACUGUAGAAUUGCCAUUGAAACUGAAGAUCUUGAAUGUGGUUAAAGUAGGCGGAAUGUAUCAUGUAGCGGUGAAAUGCUUAGAUAUGAUACAGAACACCGAUAGCGAAGGCAGCUUGCUGAACCAUUAUUGACGCUGAGGCACGAAAGCGUGGGGAGCGAACAGGAUUAGAAACCCUAGUAGUCC
RNAcentral lists this ribosomal RNA (445 nucleotides) under uncultured bacterium. RNAcentral describes it as "partial 16S ribosomal RNA". It matches the Rfam family "Bacterial small subunit ribosomal RNA", at positions 354 to 796 of the family's 1533-position model. The record is from RNAcentral.